AGGUGUGGAGGAAUGUGACAAGCAGCUUGGUCGUGUCUCUGGCAAGCACAGUGAGGUGCUGCUGUGGCAGCUUCCCCGUGGUGACAGAGCC
Molecule: long non-coding RNA, 91 nt
Organism: Nothoprocta perdicaria
Lineage: Eukaryota; Metazoa; Chordata; Aves; Tinamiformes; Tinamidae
Exons: 2
Source: RefSeq, a predicted model, not a curated record